GAUGAAGAACGUAGCGAAAUGCGAUAAGUAGUGUGAAUUGCAGAAUUCAGUGAAUCAUCGAAUCUUUGAACGCACAUUGCGCCCCUUGGUAUUCCAUGGGGCAUGCCUGUUCGAGCGUCAUUUGUACCUUCAAGCUUUGCUUGGUGUUGGGUGUUUGUCCUGAGGGACUCGCCUUAAAGUAAUUGGCAGCCAGUGUUUGGUUUUGAAGCGCAGCACAAGUCGCGAUUCAAAGCUAUACGCCCGCUUCCACAAGCCUUUUUCACUUUUGACCUCGGAUCAGGUAGGGAUACCCGCUGAACUUAAGUAUAUCAAUAAGCGGAGGA
RNAcentral lists this unclassified non-coding RNA (323 nucleotides) under soil metagenome. RNAcentral describes it as "partial contains 5.8S ribosomal RNA, internal transcribed spacer 2, and large subunit ribosomal RNA". The stretch from base 1 to 120 matches the Rfam family "5.8S ribosomal RNA", at positions 35 to 154 of the family's 154-position model. The record is from RNAcentral.